Molecule: ribosomal RNA, 253 nt
Filed under: uncultured bacterium
Lineage: Bacteria
Description: partial 16S ribosomal RNA
Rfam family: Bacterial small subunit ribosomal RNA
Source: RNAcentral
UAAGGAGGGUGCAAGCGUUGUUCGGAAUCAUUGGGCGUAAAGCGCGUGUAGGCGGCUUGGCAAGUCGGGUGUGAAAUCCCGGGGCCCAACCCCGGAACUGCAUUCGAAACUGCCUCGCUAGAGUCCCGGAGAGGAAGGCGGAAUUCCCGGUGUAGAGGUGAAAUUCGUAGAUAUCGGGAGGAACACCAGCGGCGAAGGCGGCCUUCUGGACGGUGACUGACGCUGAGACGCGAAAGCGUGGGGAGCAAACAUG